RNAcentral lists this small RNA (2298 nucleotides) under Rattus norvegicus (Norway rat). Its description in RNAcentral is "uncharacterized LOC102548022". Lineage: Eukaryota; Metazoa; Chordata; Mammalia; Rodentia; Muridae. The record is from RNAcentral.
GGGCACUGAGAACUGAGCUCAGGUCCUCUGCAAAAGCAGUGCCAGCUCUUAACCAUGAAGCCAUCUGUCCAGCCCUCAGCACUACUCUUCAACUGAAUACCAGCUGUUAAUUAUCAUUAUUAAGGAUUAUUAAAAAUAAGGACCCAGAUGUUCCAGGAGCUCUUCAGUUGCUUUGUAGAGUGGUCUGGAGCCUACUCAACAAUCUGGGGAUGAAAGGACUCUCACCUGGAGAAGCUGAGGCCUCAAGGGGGAACAAUCUGACAGAGAGAGCCUCAGAUCGGCUGCAGCUGUUCUUGACCCGAUGACUUCUGGCUUCGUGGAAGGAGUUGUUUAUCGCCCGCGAGUUACGAACGCACCGUAGGCAGCUGGGAGAUGCGUUAAGCAGCAGGUCCGGUGUGGACAGUCACCCCUCGGAUCAGCUGAGAAUUCUGACCUUGGGUCAAACCAGUUUGUGUUUUGACCUCUUCCUUUCGAGUGUGUAUUUUAAUGACUUGAAAUUCCCCCCCUUGGGUUAUCUACGUCACUCUCUUUUGAUAGACAGAAAGAAGAAGGAAUAUCAGUGGCCUCCUUUUCGAGGACUGUGACUCAACCAUCACAGAACAGCAAGAAGCACAUCAGAUGCCACCCUCAAUGACUCCAAAAGACAACCCUAGGAACGGCUUCUAUGAAACAGAGCAACUCGUGUGGGGAUGGAUCUCGCCACCAGCCCCAGGAAGAUCUUUAUCACCCCUUUAAGCUUCCGGUAGUGCCAGACAAAUUUUGGUUUGUGACAGUGUCCCCUCCACUCUCUUUCUCGGGCACAUGCCUUCUCUUUGGUAAACUCACAUUUCCUGGGUUAUUUUGACCAGCCCUACUUCCCCAUGCUGAGUGGUUCACUAUUAAAAAUCACUUGUACAACACCAGCCUUCCCCACCAGACUAUCAUUCUGACAUGCGCAAGAUGCGUGCCUGUCUUUCUCCUGGACGCAAGUCCAGUGCCCAGUGCACAGCCUGCUGAGGAAUAGUCAUACGUCAGAUACUUACGGAAUGAAAAAAAAAAAGACAAUAGACACAAACCUUCACCAUUCCGUGAACACAAGAAGUCUGGUAAUAAGAAACAAGAAGAAGCAGAGGGCUGAAUGGAUGGCAGGCAAUCACCAGCUGGUUGUAAAGACAAAAGAGGCUGGGUUCUCUCACCCUUGGGAGGGGGCGAGCAGGGCAGAAGGGUUCUGGACACUCUUGUUCACCUAGCAACCUGACUUAAUGGGCAGAACUCCAAGGUUGGCUGCCUUGUCCCCACUUCACUGAUGUUUGAGUGUCCAAAUGGCCUGAGACCCACAAAGUCUAUAUGUAGCUGUGAUGUUUGCACCCAAGACCAUGUAGCUUCACAGAUGGGAGGCAAGACUCUGUAGACCCGGGCAAGGCUAUGCCCAACCUCAGUCAAGACUGCUGCUCGCUCCCCUUGGAUUGUAAAUGGGUUUUUGCUCACAGUCGGAAGAAUGAAGCACCCAGAUUGGAACUCGAGGCCCCCAGGGUCCAAGGGAGGAAGCACCUCUGACCUCACCUUUCCAGUGAGCUGGGGUAGCAGUCAGGGCUUGCAGAGAGGGCUAUUGCAGUUUCCUUUCUGUCCUCAAGUCUUCACCAUGCUCUCCCAGAUCAGCUUGUAGAGACACUAGCCAGACUGGCAGGGGUCCCGGAGAGGAGGGUACCAGCUGGAGCCUGCUUCAACAGCACAGCCAGAGUUGCGCACAGCAGGGCUGGGGCUGCCUGUCUUUCCUGGUUGCAGCCAGAGGCUGGCUGUCCCCAGUGGAUUCUUUCCAUUUGUAAUCCUAGUCUCUGUUCGCUUUGCCCAGACAUCCCACCCUCGGAGGACGGUGCCAUUGUGUGCCCCUGGUAUGGAAGAGUUGUAUUAGUCCUGGCUUGUAUUCCUUGUUGUAGAAACUUCUGGGGACACUGAUAGAGAGAUCCCUCACGCGAAGCUUUUGCUCCCAGCCCCCAUUUGUCAGUGUCUGAACAUAACCACUUAUGCACGACUAAAGAUGCUAACUGGAAACAGGAGCCUUGGAGAAGUGGCCACUGGGCAUGGGCUUUGAACCCUACAGAUCACUGGUCCCUUAGAAUCCUUGUCCUGAGUGAAUGGGGGGAGAAUCCUCUCCUGGGCUCUGAAUCAUGACUGUGUUGACACAGGAGGAGCAACAAAGGAUCAGAGUAGCUAGAGAGGGCUGCAACCUGGGCUUCUGGCCCUUGGAGUCUGUUAUAGACAUGUUACAGACAUGUGUUAUAGGCAUGUUAUAGACAUACAGCAUUCUCUGCAUCCUCA